This 450-nucleotide ribosomal RNA is filed under the name uncultured bacterium. Its description in RNAcentral is "partial 16S ribosomal RNA". It matches the Rfam family "Bacterial small subunit ribosomal RNA", at positions 354 to 796 of the family's 1533-position model. The record is from RNAcentral.
GUGGGGAAUAUUGGACAAUGGGCGAAAGCCUGAUCCAGCCAUGCCGCGUGUGUGAAGAAGGUCUUCGGAUUGUAAAGCACUUUAAGUUGGGAGGAAGGGCAGUAAGUUAAUACCUUGCUGUUUUGACGUUACCAACAGAAUAAGCACCGGCUAACUUCGUGCCAGCAGCCGCGGUAAUACGAAGGGUGCAAGCGUUAAUCGGAAUUACUGGGCGUAAAGCGCGCGUAGGUGGUUCAGCAAGUUGGAGGUGAAAUCCCCGGGCUCAACCUGGGAACUGCCUCCAAAACUACUGAGCUAGAGUACGGUAGAAGGUAGUGGAAUUUCCUGUGUAGCGGUGAAAUGCGUAGAUAUAGGAAGGAACACCAGUGGCGAAGGCGACUACCUGGACUGAUACUGACACUGAGGUGCGAAAGCGUGGGGAGCAAACAGGAUUAGAUACCCUAGUAGUCC